ACUAUUUUGACAGAUAAAUGUAUUGAAUUUAGAAUUCAUUUAUGUAGAUUAUUUCUACAAAUAGUNA
RNAcentral lists this transfer RNA (67 nucleotides) under Devylderia bothai. RNAcentral describes it as "tRNA-Leu". Lineage: Eukaryota; Metazoa; Arthropoda; Insecta; Orthoptera; Lentulidae. RNAcentral also lists the same sequence under 2 other names. The record is from RNAcentral.